RNAcentral lists this ribosomal RNA (790 nucleotides) under Pseudoalteromonas sp. Prot6. RNAcentral describes it as "bacterial SSU rRNA". It matches the Rfam family "Bacterial small subunit ribosomal RNA", at positions 360 to 1143 of the family's 1533-position model. The record is from RNAcentral. Lineage: Bacteria; Pseudomonadati; Pseudomonadota; Gammaproteobacteria; Alteromonadales; Pseudoalteromonadaceae.
AAUAUUGCACAAUGGGCGCAAGCCUGAUGCAGCCAUGCCGCGUGUGUGAAGAAGGCCUUCGGGUUGUAAAGCACUUUCAGUCAGGAGGAAAGGUUAGUGGUUAAUACCYGUUAUCUGUGACGUUACUGACAGAAGAAGCACCGGCUAACUCCGUGCCAGCAGCCGCGGUAAUACGGAGGGUGCGAGCGUUAAUCGGAAUUACUGGGCGUAAAGCGUACGCAGGCGGUUUGUUAAGCGAGAUGUGAAAGCCCCGGGCUCAACCUGGGAACUGCAUUUCGAACUGGCAAACUAGAGUGUGAUAGAGGGUGGUAGAAUUUCAGGUGUAGCGGUGAAAUGCGUAGAGAUCUGAAGGAAUACCGAUGGCGAAGGCAGCCACCUGGGUCAACACUGACGCUCAUGUACGAAAGCGUGGGGAGCAAACGGGAUUAGAUACCCCGGUAGUCCACGCCGUAAACGAUGUCUACUAGAAGCUCGGAGCCUCGGUUCUGUUUUUCAAAGCUAACGCAUUAAGUAGACCGCCUGGGGAGUACSGCCGCAAGGUUAAAACUCAAAUGAAUUGACGGGGGCCCGCACAAGCGGUGGAGCAUGUGGUUUAAUUCGAUGCAACGCGAAGAACCUUACCUACACUUGACAUACAGAGAACUUACCAGAGAUGGUUUGGUGCCUUCGGGAACUCUGAUACAGGUGCUGCAUGGCUGUCGUCAGCUCGUGUUGUGAGAUGUUGGGUUAAGUCCCGCAACGAGCGCAACCCCUAUYCUUAGUUGCUAGCAGGUAAUGCUGAGAACUCUAA